UGCAGAAAGAAAUAAACAUAACCAACCAGAUAAAAUAGCAAAGGAAAAAACAGAGUGAAACAGCCAAACAAAAAACACAUGGCAAAACAAACUGAAUGAUUUGCUAAAAAUUCAAAUUUGUUUUCAUUUCCAGGUUUUUUUUGUUUUGUUUGGCAACAUGUUCAUAUUUGGAUAACUUUAACAGGAUAAGUUUUAUGGAAAUCCAAAUCUUUUGGGCUAUUUAUAAGUGUAAUUUUGGUAAGGGGAUCCUCCUAAUAUCGUUUCUACACAGAAGUAGAUUGUUUCCUUAGAUCUGCAGUUUUUACUCUUUGUUUUAUUGACAAGGGUCCUAUUGGGUGGACUGGGGGAGAGAGGGAUGCUCAUUUUGUGUCUUUGAGUUCAUUUGCUUUUAAACACUGUGUUUUUAAUAUGUAUUUUAUUUGCUUUUAUGUUAAGCCCCUUGUGUUUCAGGUGAAAAGGUGCUAUACAUAUAAAUAAAGUUUAAAUUUGAGUUUUAAAAAGUUACAUUUUUUAAAUUUUUAAAAUAGUGUGUUCAAUAAAUGUUUUUCCUAAGGUGUCUUUUGGAUUCUGGCCCCCUGUGUGAUUGAGUUGACACCAUGCCUGCCUGUAAAUGAAUAGACUGAAUAAUGCUGGGUGGAGUCGUUGUUCCGUCUCCAUAGCAACGGGGAAGCGGGAGCAAUCUUAACUAACAGAACAAAAGUGUCAAAGGAAAAAAACGCAAUAAAUAAGGAGUCCACUGACAGCAUGAACAACAGAACUCAGCGGUUGAACUCGUGAGUUUAUGUUUUUUCACUAAAGUGACUAAAGAAGAAGACGACGAUGUCGCUGUUUUUUUUUUUUUUUUUUUUUUUUUUUUUUUUUUUUGUUUUGUUCUUUUUUUUUAAAGAUAUUUCUGGAAAAUCUGACAUAUAGCAAACCGCUUUGGCUGCUCUCGUCUCCAUUGAUAGGUUGUCUCGGUCGUCGACCGACGCGGGGACAGCUUUCCUGAACAGCAGGACGAGUUCGAGGCUGACGUGGGAGGUUCGAGCCCGGCAGGACGGGAAGCGCCGCAGUGUGCUCGGCAGCAGCCGGCCGGGCAGACACCACGGCCCGGAGGAGACGCCGAGGAGAGCCGUUCGGGUGCUGGAUGCUGAGGGCAACGAUGUGACUCCCCUGCCUCUGCUCCCAGUGAAGCCACAGCCAUCUACUGAAACGGCAGGAUUGUGUCUGGACGACUUGUUCAAUUCAGAUCACUCUAGCUCCGACUCCAGCCUUGAUCUGGACUCCACCUCCUCUUUAAGCAGGUGGUGACGUUCACAUCCAACCAAUGCGUUAGUGAUGGUGUCAGAGGAGGAAUAAUGUCUGCUUGUGUUUUCAGCUCAUUCGCUCUGUCCUCAAGGGAUUCAUGGACAAAGGAAAGUAAAGACAGUCUCCUUACAGAGGACAUCCACCUACACCUACCUACUCCAUGUGAUUAAUACACCUUUUUGUCUGUUUAUUUUUUUAUUUGUUUGUUUUGAUGAAUAUUUUCUUGUAUUUUUUAUCCCGGGGGGUCUGCACCCUUUGAGGCAACAUUCACACUGUCCUCGGCAACGCGCUUUCAAGCCAUUGACUGUAUAAGAAAACUGGACUGAUCCCUCCCCCCUCGCGUUACCAUAAGACUUCUAUGGAGAAAAAAAAACAGCUAUUACUCACUCUAUUUGUCAGAAAAAUAAUUAUUUCGCUACAAACUUAUUAUUAACAUAUUGUAUCCUAAUUUUUUUCAUUACGUUUUUUCUUUAUCCCAAGUUAUUCAAGUUAUAAACUGGCCAAUCAGAUGCCUCAGUAAAGCAUGUGGUGCCCACCUCAAACGUUUGAUUGGCAGAUUCUCCUGAGCUCACUUUCAGUGGUAUGGAUGUGAACUUCUAAGUAGCUCCCUCCUGAUUGGUAACAUCAUUUGCCAUAGUAAUGUAGUAACCAUAAUAACUGACUAGAAACAAUCGCUGCUUACUGACCAUGUCUGGCACCAAAUAGGGGUUUCCGUAUCACAGAAUGAUUUAGUCUCAUUUGGUUGGAGCUGGAAAUAAGACAUUUUUGCUCUUUAAGGCAUUAUCUAUGAGUGACUGAACUCAGUCCAGUUCUCUUAUGCAGUCAAUGGUUCAAGCGACCACUUCUAAUUAUAAGUCUAUGUCAAUGCAUGUUUCAUGCUUCCGUAUUCGAAGCUCUCGGGUUCAUUCAUAGCUACAUACAUUUUUAGGACCGUUCAUGGGCUCUAUGUACAAAAUGGGACAAUUACCUGUCACAUUUAAAAUGAGUUAAUAAAUGACAAUUUACUAAAGCAAAAAACUAUAAUUUAUUAAUUUUUUUUGCAUUCUGCUUCAAAGCCAAUGGAGCCUAAGUCCAGAGGUGUUAUCACUUUUUUAUAAUUUUGUUUGAAGUGAUCCCACCAAAGAAAGGAUUGGCUAAAAAACAAGCAUCAGAAGAGAUAAAAGUGACUGACAUAAUUCUUAUGGAGUCAGAGACGGUUACGCUGCUGGACAUCCCAAGCACCUUAAUCCACGAGGACGCUGACGGUGCAGAACUCGCCAGGUGAGGUCACGGAGCAGCUCCACUCAGGAAUCACAGCAGUGUAACCAUGCAACCAUGUGUAGCCGUGCAACUUAGUUUGUGUAAAAUCUUCAUUGACAAAUGGAUUUUUUCUGUUUUUUAACAGGGUGAGGACCGACCACUAUGUUGAACUUUGCAAAAGCAGAGUGCGCAAUGCCAUUGAACAAUCCACACAGACUAUCGUUGGAGAGAACAAAAACAAACUGAUACAGACCAACGAGAAGAUUGAGCUUGAAAAGAGUAUGAACUCACUUAAUCUUUGACCCUCUAACAAAGGAGUUCUAGUGUUUAUGUUCUUUGAUUUAUUGGAAUUAUGUAAUUCUUAACACGAUCAACGCAAUUCC
RNAcentral lists this long non-coding RNA (2909 nucleotides) under Oryzias javanicus (javanese ricefish). RNAcentral's name for it is "lncRNA (ENSOJAG00000009324.1)". Lineage: Eukaryota; Metazoa; Chordata; Actinopteri; Beloniformes; Adrianichthyidae. The record is from RNAcentral.